UACGUAGGGGGCAAGCGUUGUCCGGAUUUAUUGGGCGUAAAGAGCGUGUAGGCGGCCAUACAGGUCCGUUGUGAAAACUGGAGGCUUAACCUCCAGACGUCGAUGGAAACCGUAUGGCUAGAGUCCGGAAGAGGAGAGUGGAAUUCCUGGUGUAGCGGUGAAAUGCGCAGAUAUCAGGAAGAACACCCGUGGCGAAGGCGGCUCACUGGACUGGUAUUGACGCUGAGGUGCGAAAGCGUGGGGAGCAAACAGG
This 253-nucleotide ribosomal RNA is filed under the name uncultured bacterium. RNAcentral describes it as "partial 16S ribosomal RNA". It matches the Rfam family "Bacterial small subunit ribosomal RNA", at positions 524 to 776 of the family's 1533-position model. The record is from RNAcentral.